CAACAAAUAGCUCUGAAAACCAAAUAGGCCACGCUGUUGGAAGUCAGAGCGAACGAGGUCAAAUAGAAGCCUCAACUGGCUGGAUAUAAAGUCUUCUCAACUCCUUUGUGGAAAUUUCCAGGCUUCACAUUCAUUCAUCAGGAUAUCCUCUUUGCACACACUUACCAUUAAAAUCUUUGGGCUGCUGCAGACUCCACCUGAAGAUGACACAGCUGUACCAGAUAUGUUUAAAGGACCAACAGAGCGAGCACACAGCCACUAGAAUCACCUUUCGUUCCAUGAAGUCUCAGGAUGUGCCUCCUUCCAAAACAUGAGCUGGACACAGUGGACAUGGAUAAUUACUCCUGUGAUACCAGCAGACAUAUGGUCUUGUGGCAACACUUGAGCUCACUGAGCCCAGAUCAAAAUAUUUUACGAAAUGGUUUAUGCUAUAGGCCAAAGAAAGCUGAAAAAAGGUAAGAGACUUGUCUUUUUCUUGGAGAAGAAAUAGAUAUUUGGUAAAUUGAAACAACAAAAAGGCAUAAUACAACACAUGUAGGUGUCAUGAUCUAAGACAUGAGAAUAAAAAUAGAAUGUAUGAUUUUUUAAGCCAGAGAAGACAAUUUUAAUUAUCCCAGGAAUGCAGGAAAGAAGACAAAAAGGGGGAAAAGAAAAUACAGAAAUUUGGAAAUAUGAAAUAAUGUGGAAAAAAUAAUGACCAAGAGAACAGAAUGUGCACUAAUUGAAAAUUGGUUAAUCUCACUAAAUGAAAGACAGAACCAUUCAGACUAGAUUAUAAUAACACACAUACACAUACACGCUCACACAUACAGCAAUUUUGUAAAAGAGACAAUGGACUUGACAUCUUGAAAUAGGGAUUUUGUAGUUUACUAAAUGAAGAUCUACAUUCAUUAAGAA
This is a long non-coding RNA of Panthera uncia (snow leopard), 897 nucleotides long. RefSeq lists it as uncharacterized. The record is from RefSeq and is a predicted model, not a curated record. Lineage: Eukaryota; Metazoa; Chordata; Mammalia; Carnivora; Felidae. The transcript is spliced from 4 exons.